UAGCGGCGACAGCGGGAAGCGAGGGGCGACCUUGAGCGAUCCCUCAAAAGCCGGUCUCAGUUCGGAUUGCAGUCUGCAACUCGACUGCAUGAAGUUGGAAUCGCUAGUAAUCGUGGACCAGCCAAGCCGCGGUGAAUACGUUCCCGGGCCUU
RNAcentral lists this ribosomal RNA (152 nucleotides) under uncultured Thermovirga sp. RNAcentral's name for it is "partial 16S ribosomal RNA". It matches the Rfam family "Bacterial small subunit ribosomal RNA", at positions 1231 to 1382 of the family's 1533-position model. Lineage: Bacteria; Thermotogati; Synergistota; Synergistia; Synergistales; Thermovirgaceae. The record is from RNAcentral.